Molecule: long non-coding RNA, 1068 nt
Organism: Anas platyrhynchos (mallard)
Lineage: Eukaryota; Metazoa; Chordata; Aves; Anseriformes; Anatidae
Source: RefSeq, a predicted model, not a curated record
CUGAGAUGAAGUCAAUGGAAAGACUCACCCUGAAUUCAGCUCAUCUGGCUCAGGACCCUGGCCAUGCAACUGGGGGAUGCACAGCCUCUCCUAGGUCAGCCCACUCAAGAAAUACAUAAUCAAAUGCCUUGCUCUAACAUGAGACAGCACAGAAGCCUAUCAUUCCAAUAUCUUCAGUGGACCCUGAUCAAAAACUUGAGGCUAAAUGCAUUAGACGGAUACACGAUCAUCCAGAAACCAUUAAAUCUUCCUUUUGAGAUGAGACUCUGUGGCUAGAGUUUCAUUCUUAUCUCCCCUUCUGAUCGGAGGAGGAAGUUCUGCUACAGAGAUUCUGUCUCAAAACCUUCCACCAGCAUUGCCUUCUGCAGAAGAAAGUGUAUUCUCCUCUCUGCGCCCCUGUGGCACCCAAAUACCCCACUAAAACAAGCAUCAGUCUCUAUGUUUCCUCUCUUGGGAGUGGUCACACUUGCAGUAAACAAGCUAAAGUGCUGAUCUGCUGUGGCAGAGCCUUGAUCCUGGCAACAUCCCAGACAUCACUGGGCAAUUUGGUUUGAAGCCAUGGUUGCAGGUGUGGUUUGAAGCCAUCCUCUUUAGGGGAGGAACCUUGUUCUUGCAUUGUCUAGUGGAGGAUGCACUGCAGUAAGGUUGGGGAGGACAGUAGAAGUUAAAGGAGGGCUUUCAUACUGAUGAAACAAGUUGAUCAGUAUGAUACCAUAGACUAGAUAGUCUUCUGACUACCCUGUGAUUUGUCACCACUUAUCCUGUUACCCCAUUUGUUUGACUUAAUGUCUUGUCCUCCUAACAGUAGCCCUUGAACUCUCUCAUACCUUUUAUCCAUUUUAACCUUAGGGGUUGGGAGAAAAGGAAGGGAAAGGGCUUGUUAGAAAGUAAAACAUGAGGUAGGAUUAGAGGCUGGUGGAAAUGGCCAGUCCAACCCUACCAUCAGGAACAGAUGAGGAACUGGAAUUUGAGUGAAGUUACCAGUUCUUGUUUUUGGGAAAAUACUAGUAUUGGUAUGCCUCCUACAUCUACCUGACAGCUUUUUCAAGACUUAGGAGUUCAGUAUCU